CCUACGGGAGGCAGCAGAAGGGAAUCUUCCACAAUGGGCGAAAGCCUGAUGGAGCAACGCCGCGUGGGUGAAGAAGGUCUUCGGAUCGUAAAACCCUGUUGUUAGAGAAGAAAGUGCGUGAGAGUAACUGUUCACGUUUCGACGGUAUCUAACCAGAAAGCCACGGCUAACUACGUGCCAGCAGCCGCGGUAAUCCGUAGGUGGCAAGCGUUAUCCGGAUUUAUUGGGCGUAAAGGGAACGCAGGCGGUCUUUUAAGUCUGCUGUGAAAGCCUUCGGCUUAACCGGAGUAGUGCAUUGGAAACUGGGAGACGUGAGUGCAGAAGAGGAGAGUGGAACUCCAUGUGUAGCGGUGAAAUGCGUAGAUAUAUGGAAGAACACCAGUGGCGAAAGCGGCUCUCUGGUCUGUAACUGACGCUGAGGUUCGAAAGCGUGGGUAGCAAACAGGAUUAGAUACCCGGGUAGUC
RNAcentral lists this ribosomal RNA (465 nucleotides) under uncultured bacterium. RNAcentral's name for it is "partial 16S ribosomal RNA". It matches the Rfam family "Bacterial small subunit ribosomal RNA", at positions 338 to 795 of the family's 1533-position model. The record is from RNAcentral.